This 494-nucleotide ribosomal RNA is filed under the name uncultured bacterium. RNAcentral describes it as "partial 16S ribosomal RNA". It matches the Rfam family "Bacterial small subunit ribosomal RNA", at positions 28 to 507 of the family's 1533-position model. The record is from RNAcentral.
GACGAACGCCGGCGGCGUGCUUAACACAUGCAAGUCGAACGGUGAAGCGCCUUCCUUUUUGGUGGGUGUGGAUGAGUGGCGAACGGGUGAGUAACACGUGAGUAACCUGCCCCCUUCUUCUGGAUAACCGCAUGAAAGUGUGGCUAAUACGGGAUAUUCUGGGUCUGUCGCAUGAUGGGUCUGGGAAAGAUAUUGUUUCGGUGGGGGAUGGGCUCGCGGCCUAUCAGCUUGUUGGUGGGGUGAUGGCCUACCAAGGCGGUGACGGGUAGCCGGCCCGAGAGGGUGGACGGUCACACUGGGACUGAGACACGGCCCAGACUCCUACGGGAGGCAGCAGUGGGGAAUAUUGCACAAUGGGCGCAAGCCUGAUGCAGCGACGCCGCGUGAGGGAUGGAGGCCUUCGGGUUGUGAACCUCUUUCGCCAGUGAAGCAGGCCUGCCUCGUUUGUGGGUGGGUUGACGGUAGCUGGAUAAGAAGCGCCGGCUAACUACGUG